CUUACCUGUUUGGUUCCGGUUUUCCCCUGGGCACUCUGAAUACAUGUCCCGAGAAGGUUCCUGUGGACAGACGGGCGCUGCUUGAUUGAGAUCGCUGUCAUUAUAUUCCCAAGUGUGUGAGUGUCGGCCACGGUCAC
This is a long non-coding RNA of Megalops cyprinoides (Indo-Pacific tarpon), 137 nucleotides long. RefSeq lists it as uncharacterized. The record is from RefSeq and is a predicted model, not a curated record. NCBI's taxonomy places the organism in Eukaryota, Metazoa, Chordata, Actinopteri, Elopiformes, Megalopidae. The transcript has 3 exons.